AAGGUUAAGCCUCACGGUUCAUUAGUACCGGUUAGCUCAACGCAUCGCUGCGCUUACACACCCGGCCUAUCAACGUCGUCGUCUUCAACGUUCCUUCAGGACCCUCAAGGAGUCAGGGAGAACUCAUCUCGGGGCAAGUUUCGUGCUUAGAUGCUUUCAGCACUUAUCUCUUCCGCAUUUAGCUACCGGGCAGUGCCAUUGGCAUGACAACCCGAACACCAGUGAUGCGUCCACUCCGGUCCUCUCGUACUAGGAGCAGCCCCCCUCAGUUCUCCAGCGCCCACGGCAGAUAGGGACCGAACUGUCUCACGACGUUCUAAACCCAGCUCGCGUACCACUUUAAAUGGCGAACAGCCAUACCCUUGGGACCUACUUCAGCCCCAGGAUGUGAUGAGCCGACAUCGAGGUGCCAAACACCGCCGUCGAUAUGAACUCUUGGGCGGUAUCAGCCUGUUAUCCCCGGAGUACCUUUUAUCCGUUGAGCGAUGGCCCUUCCAUUCAGAACCACCGGAUCACUAUGACCUGCUUUCGCACCUGCUCGCGCCGUCACGCUCGCAGUCAAGCUGGCUUAUGCCAUUGCACUAACCUCCUGAUGUCCGACCAGGAUUAGCCAACCUUCGUGCUCCUCCGUUACUCUUUAGGAGGAGACCGCCCCAGUCAAACUACCCACCAGACACUGUCCGCAACCCGGAUUACGGGUCAACGUUAGAACAUCAAACAUUAAAGGGUGGUAUUUCAAGGUCGGCUCCAUGCAGACUGGCGUCCACACUUCAAAGCCUCCCACCUAUCCUACACAUCAAGGCUCAAUGUUCAGUGUCAAGCUAUAGUAAAGGUUCACGGGGUCUUUCCGUCUUGCCGCGGGUACACUGCAUCUUCACAGCGAGUUCAAUUUCACUGAGUCUCGGGUGGAGACAGCCUGGCCAUCAUUACGCCAUUCGUGCAGGUCGGAACUUACCCGACAAGGAAUUUCGCUACCUUAGGACCGUUAUAGUUACGGCCGCCGUUUACCGGGGCUUCGAUCAAGAGCUUCGCUUGCGCUAACCCCAUCAAUUAACCUUCCGGCACCGGGCAGGCGUCACACCGUAUACGUCCACUUUCGUGUUUGCACAGUGCUGUGUUUUUAAUAAACAGUUGCAGCCAGCUGGUAUCUUCGACUGAUUUCAGCUCCAUCCGCGAGGGACUUCACCUACAUAUCAGCGUGCCUUCUCCCGAAGUUACGGCACCAUUUUGCCUAGUUCCUUCACCCGAGUUCUCUCAAGCGCCUUGGUAUUCUCUACCUGACCACCUGUGUCGGUUUGGGGUACGAUUUGAUGUUACCUGAUGCUUAGAGGCUUUUCCUGGAAGCAGGGCAUUUGUUGCUUCAGCACCGCAGUGCCUCGUCAUCACGCCUCAGCCUUGAUUUUCCGGAUUUGCCUGGAAAACCAGCCUACACGCUUAAACCGGGACAACCGUCGCCCGGCCAACAUAGCCUUCUCCGUCCCCCUUCGCAGUAACACCAAGUACAGGAAUAUUAACCUGUUUCCCAUCGACUACGCCUUUCGGCCUCGCCUUAGGGGUCGACUCACCCUGCCCCGAUUAACGUUGGACAGGAACCC
Molecule: ribosomal RNA, 1595 nt
Filed under: Escherichia coli DEC8D
Lineage: Bacteria; Pseudomonadati; Pseudomonadota; Gammaproteobacteria; Enterobacterales; Enterobacteriaceae
Description: partial 23S ribosomal RNA
Source: RNAcentral